RNAcentral lists this ribosomal RNA (330 nucleotides) under uncultured bacterium. RNAcentral describes it as "bacterial SSU rRNA". It matches the Rfam family "Bacterial small subunit ribosomal RNA", at positions 568 to 898 of the family's 1533-position model. The record is from RNAcentral.
CGCGUAGGUGGUAGUGCAAGUCUGAGGUGGAAUCUUAGGGCUUAACCCUAAAAUUGCCUUGGAAACUGCAUUACUUGAGUCAGUGAGGGGAGGGUAGAAUUCCUGGUGUAGCGGUGAAAUGCGUAGAUAUCAGGAGGAAGGCCGGUGGCGAAGGCGGCCCUCUGGCGCUGAACUGACACUGAGGCGCGAAAGCGUGGGGAGCAAACAGGAUUAGAUACCCUGGUAGUCCACGCCCUAAACGGUGGGUACUAGGUGUAGGGCUCGUAAGGGUUCUGUGCCGAAGCGAAAGCAUUAAGUACCCCGCCUGGGGAGUACAGCCGCAAGGUUGAA